AUUGAACGCUGGCGGCAUGCCUUACACAUGCAAGUCGAACGGUAACAGGUCUUCGGAUGCUGACGAGUGGCGAACGGGUGAGUAAUACAUCGGAACGUGCCUAGUAGUGGGGGAUAACUACUCGAAAGAGUGGCUAAUACCGCAUGAGAUCUACGGAUGAAAGCAGGGGAUCGCAAGACCUUGUGCUACUAGAGCGGCCGAUGGCAGAUUAGGUAGUUGGUGGGAUAAAAGCUUACCAAGCCGACGAUCUGUAGCUGGUCUGAGAGGACGAUCGGCCACACUGGGACUGAGACACGGCCCAGACUCCUACGGGAGGCAGCAGUGGGGAGUUUUGGACAAUGGGCGAAAGCCUGAUCCAGCAAUGCCGCGUGCAGGAUGAAGGCCUUCGGGUUGUAAACUGCUUUUGUACGGAACGAAAAGCCCCGGGUUAAUACCCUGGGGUCAUGACGGUACCGUAAGAAUAAGCACCGGCUAACUACGUGCCAGCAGCCGCCGUAA
RNAcentral lists this ribosomal RNA (498 nucleotides) under uncultured bacterium. RNAcentral's name for it is "partial 16S ribosomal RNA". It matches the Rfam family "Bacterial small subunit ribosomal RNA", at positions 30 to 523 of the family's 1533-position model. The record is from RNAcentral.